RNAcentral lists this ribosomal RNA (468 nucleotides) under uncultured bacterium. RNAcentral's name for it is "partial 16S ribosomal RNA". It matches the Rfam family "Bacterial small subunit ribosomal RNA", at positions 28 to 507 of the family's 1533-position model. The record is from RNAcentral.
GACGAACGCUGGCGGCGUGCUUAACACAUGCAAGUCGAACGGAAAGGCCCUGCUUUUGUGGGGUGCUCGAGUGGCGAACGGGUGAGUAACACGUGAGUAACCUGCCCUUGACUUUGGGAUAACUUCAGGAAACUGGGGCUAAUACCGGAUAGGAGCUCCUGCUGCAUGGUGGGGGUUGGAAAGUUUCGGCGGUUGGGGAUGGACUCGCGGCUUAUCAGCUUGUUGGUGGGGUAGUGGCUUACCAAGGCUUUGACGGGUAGCCCGCCUGAGAGGGUGACCGGCCACAUUGGGACUGAGGUACGGCCCAGACGCCUACGGGAGGCAGCAGUGGGGAAUAUUGCACAAUGGGCGGAAGCCUGAUGCAGCAACGCCGCGUGCGGGAUGACGGCCUUCGGGUUGUAAACCGCUUUCGCCUGUGACGAAGCGUGAGUGACGGUAAUGGGUAAAGAAGCACCGGCUAACUACGUG